RNAcentral lists this ribosomal RNA (537 nucleotides) under uncultured archaeon. Its description in RNAcentral is "bacterial SSU rRNA". It matches the Rfam family "Archaeal small subunit ribosomal RNA", at positions 110 to 645 of the family's 1478-position model. The record is from RNAcentral.
UACCCUCGGGAGGGGGAUAACCCCGGGAAACUGGGGCUAAUCCCCCAUAGGCCUGGGGUACUGGAAGGUCCCCAGGCCGAAAGGGGCUCUGCCCGCCCGAGGAUGGGCCGGCGGCCGAUUAGGUAGUUGGUGGGGUAACGGCCCACCAAGCCGAAGAUCGGUACGGGCCAUGAGAGUGGGAGCCCGGAGAUGGACACUGAGACACGGGUCCAGGCCCUACGGGGCGCAGCAGGCGCGAAACCUCCGCAAUGCGGGCAACCGCGACGGGGGGACCCCCAGUGCCGUGGCAACGCCACGGCUUUUCCGGAGUGUAAAAAGCUCCGGGAAUAAGGGCUGGGCAAGGCCGGUGGCAGCCGCCGCGGUAAUACCGGCGGCCCAAGUGGUGGCCGCUAUUAUUGGGCCUAAAGCGUCCGUAGCCGGGCCCGUAAGUCCCUGGCGAAAUCCCACGGCUCAACCGUGGGGCUUGCUGGGGAUACUGCGGGCCUUGGGACCGGGAGAGGCGGGGGGUACCCCUGGGGUAGGGGUGAAAUCCUAUAA